This is a long non-coding RNA of Capsicum annuum, 1084 nucleotides long. RefSeq lists it as uncharacterized. NCBI's taxonomy places the organism in Eukaryota, Viridiplantae, Streptophyta, Magnoliopsida, Solanales, Solanaceae. The transcript is spliced from 2 exons. The record is from RefSeq and is a predicted model, not a curated record.
UCAUGUCUUGUCUUAAAAUAUAUCCUUGAUGGGAAGCUACUAUGUGGCAAUAAUAAGUGUAGCGACUAGUUUUUAGUCGCUACACUAUGUGGCCAUCAGGUAGUUAUUCUGAUUGCCAUAUAAUGGGUGCAAUAGUAUAUAGUGUCAUUGACAAAAAAUCCUUGGGAGGAAGCUACUACGGCAUGGCAAUAACAAGUGCAGCUGCUAGUAUUUACUCGCUACACUAUGUGGCAACAGGUGAGUUGAUUGCCACAUAGUGGGCGUACCAGUAUAUAGUGUCACUGGCUCAAAGUCCUUGAUGGGAAGCUAGUGUCACUGGCUUAAAGUCCGUGCUGGGUAGCUACUACGUGGCAUUAACAAGUGUAGCGACUAGUAUUUACUCGCUACACUAUGUUGCAACAGGUGCUUUGAUUGCCACAUAGUGGGCGCACCAGUAUAUAGUGUCCCUGGCUUAAAGGCCUCGAUGGGAAGCUACUACGUGGCAAUAACAAGUGUAGCAACUAGUAUUGAGUCGAUAUACUAUGUGGCAAUCAAGUGGUUUGAUCGCCACAUAGUGGGCGCAACAAUAUAUAGUGUCAGCGACUUAAAAUCCUUGAUGGAAGCAACUAGUCGUUUCUAGCAAUGUUUCUCUACAGGAGAUCUGUUCAAUUCCAACAUGAAAUCUGGGAAGGUCCAUUGACUGGAUUUCGCUUUUUUGACAAUCGAUGGGUACCUGAGGCUUCGAUAGACUUGAGAAAUCUAUUGUGACCUAAUGGGUCAUGAAACACAAGGAACAAAGAAAAAGUGGAUCCAAGAUCAAAUUUUAUCAUUCCAAGAUUGGUGAAUAAAAACAAUGAGUUGGAAGAAGACUUAUAGCUUAAACAGGUCCAAAUUGAUAACUUGGCGUGGGAGAAGAGACACAAUGAAAGAUGGAGAUGGUGUAGGUUCAAUAGGAAGAUUGUUUUAUGUAUUUUGAUUUUUGUUGUUGUUAUGUUCAUCAGCAGCAAAUGAACUGAAAGUAGUUGCUAGAUCUGGUCUAAAAUGGUGUACAUUUUGUAUACCUCUCUCUAAAUAUAUCAGAUUAUGUUAUGUUAUGUUUUUUUUU